RNAcentral lists this ribosomal RNA (261 nucleotides) under uncultured bacterium. Its description in RNAcentral is "partial 16S ribosomal RNA". It matches the Rfam family "Bacterial small subunit ribosomal RNA", at positions 29 to 318 of the family's 1533-position model. The record is from RNAcentral.
AGCGAACGCUGGCGGCAGGCUUAACACAUGCAAGUCGAACGGGCGUAGCAAUACGUCAGCGGCAGACGGGUGAGUAACACGUGGGAACGUGCCCUUCGGUUCGGAAUAACUCAGGGAAACUUGAGCUAAUACCGGAUACGCCCUUUGGGGAAGGUUACUGCCGAGGAUCGGCCCGCGUCUGAUUAGCUAGUUGGUGGGGUAAGUGGCCUACCAAGGCGACGAUCAGUAGCUGGUCUGAGAGGAUGAUCAGCCACACUGGGA